AAGGCCACAUUCUGAAGUCCUGAGGUUUAAGGCUUCAACAUAUGCAUCUUGGAAUAUGCAAUCCAAUCCUUAAUGGGAGGGCUCAGCCUCUGCAUCAGUCUGGGAAGAUGGAGACAGGCCAGGAAUGCAGGGGCACCCUCUUUGAUGGCUGGGGUCUGCAUGAAACUCAGAAAAGGUAAAAAUCUCCCAUUUCAAAUGGGACUAAAAUAAUGAAUGAGGCAGCUCACAUAGCACCCACAUGUCCCAGGGAUCUUAAUGUGCUUUCUGCUGCUACAAAGUAUCCCUGAGGCAGAGUGACUUAUAAACAACAAAGACAUGCUUACAUAUCUGGAGGCUGGACAUACAGGAACAUGGGGUGACUCCUGGUGAGGCCUUCUUAAUGCCCACCAAGUGGCAAAACAACCCAUUAGGAAGGGCUCAUAUAAACACACACACACACACACACACACACACACACACACACACACACCACACACACCACACACACACACACACACACACACACACACACACACACACACACACGCAUCUCUGCUGGUAGGGUCGAAAUUUCUGUUUGGAAAAUGUUAGCUGCUGUUAGAUCAGAGGCCUGAAAAUUAGGAAGUCAGUCCAACCUAUAGGUGGCCAAUGGCCUCUGCCUGCCUGUCCUUUAGCCAUAAAAACCAACCAGCAGGCCAAAGGGAGGUCAUAUAGCAGUGUCUGGAAUUCCCAGAUAAUUCUGCUGUGUAUGUGCCAGGGCAUGUGUAUGGAGAUCAGAGGACAACUUGUAGGAAUUGGUUCUCUCCUUUCACCGUGUGGGUCCGAUGGAUUGAACUCAGAUCAUCAAGCUUGGUCUCAAACACCUUUGCCUCCUGAGCCAUCUUGCCACCCUACGAUUUACUUUUACAGGAAAGUCACUCCUGUGAUAUGACCUGGGUGUAAGACCCAUCUCCUCUCAGGAGUCCUGCCUUCCACACUGCUACUCUUGGGGCUGACUUUAUAAACACUUCAGCUUUGAGAGAACCAGACUGGGGUUUUCCCCUUGGGCAGAGCUGGCUCUGCAGGCUUGAAGGGUCUGUGCUAUUAGGGUCUGAAUUUCCAUCUGAAAGAUGUUAGCUGCUGGAUUUGAGGUCCUGAAAACUAUGAAACCAAUCCAGUCUGUAGGUAGCCAAUGGUCUCCACCUCUCCAUCCCCCAGCCCUAAGGACAAACAGGCCACAGAAAGUUCAUAGAUUAGUGGCUGGAAUGCACCGAUAAGGUGCCUGGAUGGCGAGGCCCUGUGACAGACAUAGGAACCAGUGAAAACCUCUUAAGAGGUGUCAGGACAGAAGUGGCAUAACUCUGUCACCUGCCAAAUGCAUUCCCAGCCACUUAUCAACAGAGCACUUAGGAGGGUCCCAAGGAAGCAAAGUGCAAAAGGAGAGAGAGAGGAGGCUGAAGAAAAAGCAGGCAGGUGUCCUGCCCAGUCUGCUGAACAAUACUCACUCUUCCUGUUGCCCCCUCCUCAGGACUGGGAUAGAGUAAGCAAGGCUUUGCCUCCACUGGACCAUGUGGAUAAGAAAGGGCUCCCUGCAGUCAGGCAGGCUUGCAAACACAGGUCUACCUCUAGAUGAUACUCUACAGCUUCUACUAAGUUUCCCAACACCCUAAGGCUCUCUUGCCUUUCUGCACUUCUCCUGUAAGACCUCAUAGUGAGAUUUCCGAGGUCACUCAUUGCCCAGUGCUGGGAAAUAGGGCACUGGCUCCUUUCUUUCUAUCUCUUGGGUCAGCAAGCUUCAAAGAGAGAGUCUCUACCAUGUUGUGGCUGCCUCAACUUGGCCCAGUGACACUUUAGCCCAAGUCCCGGGACUUUGGGAUCUGGCUAUCACAUUCCCCAUCAUUCCUUUAUAGUCCCUUUGGUUCCCUCCCAAAAGCCUCAGUCCUUCCUCUGGUGCUGCCUCUCAGGAGAACCCAUGACCCACCCCAGCAUAGCUGGGAACAUCAACCGACUCUUCGACUGGUUCCAAAUGCCCAGAGCACAGAGGCAGGAUUAGAGAGAGCUGAUGGAGCAGGGAGACAAGAGCGUCCAGCAGCUAGGAAUGGAGACAGAUAGAGACAAGCUCUAGAACCACAGACUAGGGGAGCACCACAUGUGGGACCCUGGACAUGGCUGGGGAGCAAAGGCUAACUAAGAGUGUCCAAGGCCAUGACCUUGAAGCAUCAAGAACUAGUUCCACCAUGUUCAUUGAGCACACUUGGAAGCACAGAAGAUUUCCAUGCAAAGCAAUUGAAAGCAGUCCACGGACACUAAAGGGACCAUGAAUUCUGGACAUUGUGGGAGACAUAGCUACUCUCAGGUCUAUGGACCAGAGUUGCAAGGAGUAGCCUUACUCACCUCUACCCUCAGCCCUUUUCUGUCAUUCCAGGAGGCUAUAGCUUGCUUGCUCAACACUUCCUGAUGAGUGGUUUGGGUUUAGUUGGUUUUUGGUUUUUUGUUUUUUUGUUUUGUUUUGUUUUGUUUUAACUCUUCUUCUGUUGCAGCAACAUAGG
RNAcentral lists this long non-coding RNA (2507 nucleotides) under Mus musculus (house mouse). RNAcentral's name for it is "long non-coding RNA chr7:142458217-142460724". The record is from RNAcentral. Lineage: Eukaryota; Metazoa; Chordata; Mammalia; Rodentia; Muridae.